GAUUUGCUAGCUCAGUCGGUAGAGCACAUCCCUUUUAAGGAUGGGGUCCUGGGUUCGAAUCCCAGGCAAAUCA
RNAcentral lists this transfer RNA (73 nucleotides) under Tannerella sp. Its description in RNAcentral is "tRNA-Lys". It matches the Rfam family "tRNA". From Rfam's summary of the family: Transfer RNA (tRNA) molecules are approximately 80 nucleotides in length. The record is from RNAcentral. Lineage: Bacteria; Pseudomonadati; Bacteroidota; Bacteroidia; Bacteroidales; Tannerellaceae.